This 54-nucleotide transfer RNA is filed under the name Triticum aestivum (bread wheat). It matches the Rfam family "tRNA", at positions 14 to 63 of the family's 71-position model. From Rfam's summary of the family: Transfer RNA (tRNA) molecules are approximately 80 nucleotides in length. The record is from Rfam by way of RNAcentral. Lineage: Eukaryota; Viridiplantae; Streptophyta; Magnoliopsida; Poales; Poaceae.
AAUCAUGGUAGAGUGCGUGGCUUUUAACCACGUGGCCGUGGGUUCGAUCCCCAC